CUUGUUUCCAUUUGGUAGCCUAGGGAUAAUGAGGCUUGCUUCUUUAUAAACCCUGUAAGGACUACUAGUAAUAAUUUAAAAAAAUAGGUGCUAUGGUACUAAGACAGGUCAAGGCUGAAAGCAACUUAAAAGACUAGCAAGGAUCUAUAUUGACUAUCUAAGUGUGGUGAAUUGGCAGGCUACUCAGAGCAGAGAAAGCAGGCAUGGUGCAGAUAUGUUAAAUGAGCUGAUAAGUGGGUAUCACUCAAAGAUAGAAAUGAAAUAAAUUUCUCCUUUUUAUAGAAAAACAGAUACUUAGAAUAAUUUGGGCUGAUGCUCAAAAGUCAUGGUUUCUUAAAAUAUCUAGCCUUUGACUUAGUACAAUGUACCCAGUAAAGCUUCUACAUUGGGAAAAGGUUUGAAAAGGAAGGUGGGAGGAGAGCAAGUUUCUGGAGUAUUAAUGACUGUGCCAUUUGCCUCUAUACUUAGGGAAGAAAGUGAUCGUGGUUAGAAAAAAAAUCAGUAAAUUGAUUCAUGCAUUCCCUGUAUUACUAGUUCCAUUAAAACUCUAAUUACUAACAGUGAUUUAAUAAAACCUGUAUGUGUUUUCUAAGCAGCCUUUUAGGAUCCUGUAAUAAAUGCCUUAACAGAGCAGUAAAUUUAGCUAAGUAUUAAUUAAUCAGUAAUCAUUUUCUAUCAAGCAAACAAUAGUUGUAGACUUUGAAAGAGCAAAGGUUCUUUGUGUCUGUGUGUACCUGUAACACAUGUAGGAAGCCUCCAGAGACAGAACAGCUAAAACAUACGGACUAAAGAAGAGGGGGAUAUUUAACUGUAAGGGCUGGAUUUCGAUACAGCUGAGGAGGAAGUACAACUUCUCCCCUUCCCUCAGAUACUUCUCUGUCCGUGGGCAUACGACUCCAUCCAAUCCUGCACUGGGUGCAAGAGGAGCAGGCUGCUUGACCCAGUGCCCCUCCAUGAAGGGGUAUAAAUGUCGUGGAGUGGCAUUAUGUUGGCUGCCCUGAGCAAGCCUGAUCCUCCAGCAAAGCCUGGUCUCUGCAGAGGGAUGAAGUUAAAAAGAAACCUAAUAAAUGCUCGUGCCUUUA
This is a non-coding RNA of Anas platyrhynchos (mallard), 1082 nucleotides long. The record is from RefSeq and is a predicted model, not a curated record. Lineage: Eukaryota; Metazoa; Chordata; Aves; Anseriformes; Anatidae.